AGUGGCAAACGGGUGAGUAACACGUAAACAACCUGCCUUCAGGAUGGGGACAACAGACGGAAACGACUGCUAAUACCGAAUACCUGAAGAGGGGUUUGCGUCUGAUUAGGUAGUUGGUGAGGUAACGGCCCACCAAGCCGACGAUCAGUAGCCGGUCUGAGAGGAUGAACGGCCACACUGGAACUGAGACACGGUCCAGACUCCUACGGGAGGCAGCAGUGGGGAAUCUUCCGCAAUGGGCGAAAGCCUGACGGAGCAACGCCGCGUGAGUGAUGACGGCCUUCGGGUUGUAAAGCUCUGUGAUCGGGGACGCGGUACCCGAAUAGCAAGCCACGGCUAACUACGUGCCAGCAGCCGCGGUAAUACGUAGGUGGCAAGCGUUGUCCGGAAUUAUUGGGCGUAAAGCGCGCGCAGGCGGUUCUUAAGUCCAUCUUAAAAGUGCGGGGCUUAACCCCGUGAUGGGAUGGAAACUGAGAGCUGGAGUAUC
This 487-nucleotide ribosomal RNA is filed under the name uncultured bacterium. RNAcentral describes it as "bacterial SSU rRNA". It matches the Rfam family "Bacterial small subunit ribosomal RNA", at positions 94 to 650 of the family's 1533-position model. The record is from RNAcentral.